RNAcentral lists this ribosomal RNA (912 nucleotides) under Agrocybe smaragdina. Its description in RNAcentral is "partial large subunit ribosomal RNA". It matches the Rfam family "Eukaryotic large subunit ribosomal RNA", at positions 38 to 934 of the family's 3401-position model. Lineage: Eukaryota; Fungi; Basidiomycota; Agaricomycetes; Agaricales; Agrocybaceae. The record is from RNAcentral.
GCAUAUCAAUAAGCGGAGGAAAAGAAACUAACAAAGGAUUCCCCUAGUAACUGCGAGUGAAGCGGGAAAAGCUCAAAUUUAAAAUCUGGCGGUCUUUGGCCGUCCGAGUUGUAAUCUAGAGAAGUGUUAUCCGCGCUGGACCGUGUACAAGUCUCCUGGAAUGGAGCGUCAUAGAGGGUGAGAAUCCCGUCUUUGACACGGACUCCCAGGGCUUUGUGAUGCGCUCUCAAAGAGUCGAGUUGUUUGGGAAUGCAGCUCCAAAUGGGUGGUAAAUUCCAUCUAAAGCUAAAUAUUGGCGAGAGACCGAUAGCGAACAAGUACCGUGAGGGAAAGAUGAAAAGAACUUUGGAAAGAGAGUUAAACAGUACGUGAAAUUGCUGAAAGGGAAACGCUUGAAGUCAGUCGCGUUGGCCGGGAAUCAACCUUGCUUUUGCUGGGCGUACUUUCCGGUCGACGGGUCAGCAUCAAUUUUGACCGUUGGAUAAAGUCUAGAGGAAUGUGGCAUCUUCGGGUGUGUUAUAGCCUCUGGUCGCAUACGACGGUUGGGAUUGAGGAACUCAGCACGCCGCAAGGCCGGGUACUCGUACCACGAUCGUGCUUAGGAUGCUGGCAUAAUGGCUUUAAUCGACCCGUCUUGAAACACGGACCAAGGAGUCUAACAUGCCUGCGAGUGUUUGGGUGGAAAACCCGAGCGCGUAAUGAAAGUGAAAGUUGAGAUCCCUGUCGCGGGGAGCAUCGACGCCCGGACCAGACCUUUUGUGACGGUUCCGCGGUAGAGCAUGUAUGUUGGGACCCGAAAGAUGGUGAACUAUGCCUGAAUAGGGUGAAGCCAGAGGAAACUCUGGUGGAGGCUCGUAGCGAUUCUGACGUGCAAAUCGAUCGUCAAAUUUGGGUAUAGGGGCGAAAGACUAA